GUCCACGCCCUAAACGAUGUCGACUAGGUGUUCGGGAAGGAGACUUCUUGAGUACCGCAGCUAACGCGUGAAGUCGACCGCCUGGGGAGUACGGUCGCAAGAUUAAAACUCAAAGGAAUUGACGGGGACCCGCACAAGCGGUGGAUGAUGUGGAUUAAUUCGAUGCAACGCGAAAACCUUACCUACCCUUGACAUGCCUGGAACCCUGGUGAGAGCUAGGGGUGCCUUCGGGAGCCAGGACACAGGUGCUGCAUGGCUGUCGU
This 263-nucleotide ribosomal RNA is filed under the name uncultured bacterium. RNAcentral's name for it is "partial 16S ribosomal RNA". It matches the Rfam family "Bacterial small subunit ribosomal RNA", at positions 793 to 1055 of the family's 1533-position model. The record is from RNAcentral.